AGAUUGAACGCUGGCGGCAUGCUUUACACAUGCAAGUCGUGCGGCAGCGCGGGGGCAACCCUGGCGGCGAGCGGCGAACGGGUGAGGAAUACAUCGGAACGUACCCCGGAGUGGGGGAUAACCCAGCGAAAGUUGGACUAAUACCGCAUAUGCUCUGAGGAGGAAAGCAGGGGACUUCGCAAGAGGCCUUGCGCUCUGGGAGCGGCCGAUGUCCGAUUAGCUAGUUGGUGGGUAAUGGCUCACCAAGGCGACGAUCGGUAGCUGGUCUGAGAGGAUGAUCAGCCACACUGGGACUGAGACACGGCCCAGACUCCUACGGGAGGCAGCAGUGGGGAAUUUGGACAAUGGGGGCAACCUGAUCCAGCCAUGCCGCGUGCGGAAGAGGCCUCGGUGUAACCGCUUUGGUCGGAAGAAGGCAGCUUGAUACGGCCUGUCUUUGACGUACGGCAGACGUAAGCACGCAACUACGUGCCAGCAGCCGCGUAACG
This 488-nucleotide ribosomal RNA is filed under the name uncultured soil bacterium. RNAcentral's name for it is "bacterial SSU rRNA". It matches the Rfam family "Bacterial small subunit ribosomal RNA", at positions 26 to 525 of the family's 1533-position model. The record is from RNAcentral.